Molecule: ribosomal RNA, 253 nt
Filed under: uncultured bacterium
Lineage: Bacteria
Description: partial 16S ribosomal RNA
Rfam family: Bacterial small subunit ribosomal RNA
Source: RNAcentral
UACGGGGGGGGCAAGCGUUGUUCGGAAUUACUGGGCGUAAAGGGCGCGUAGGCGGCCUUCUAAGUCGAACGUGAAAUCCCCCGGCUUAACCUGGGAACUGCGUCUGAUACUGGGAGGCUUGAGUAUGGGAGAGGGAUGUAGAAUUCCAGGUGUAGCGGUGAAAUGCGUAGAUAUCUGGAGGAAUACCGGUGGCGAAGGCGGCAUCCUGGACCGGCAUUGACGCUGAGGAGCGAAAGCCAGGGGAGCAAACGGG